Long non-coding RNA from Daphnia pulicaria, 988 nucleotides. RefSeq lists it as uncharacterized. Lineage: Eukaryota; Metazoa; Arthropoda; Branchiopoda; Diplostraca; Daphniidae. The record is from RefSeq and is a predicted model, not a curated record. The transcript has 4 exons.
AAAGCUAGGUCAUUAUGAUCCGCCUUUUUUAAAAAGAGUUUGUUGCAAAUAGAUCAGCAGUCCUGAAGAUCUCCUGAAUAUCUUCUUUGGAGAAGUCGAAAGAAAAAAACCCACACGCAGAAGUAAUAUAUACUAACAUUCCCGCAACCUUCCCCAGUACCUCCUGCCUCUACUAUCGUAAUCUUUGGGAGGCUAAGAGCCUUUUCGGAGGAUCCCAGGAGGGAGGUGUGCUGUGUGGGAUCCUUAUGAUACUAAGAGACUAAACACAGAGAACAUUCCUUACGUGUACUGACUUUGAUGAAGGAGGUGAUGUCCUGGUGGCACGUUGCGAUCAUGACGCUGUCACCGUUGGAUCAGCUGGUGAUAACCAAUUUAUCAACAUCAAAGCUCUUAAUGAAUGGGACUCAAGGUUGUCUGGUGGAGUCGAAUGGCGCCAGAAACUGGACACUCAGCGAGGUGCUGUUCAGGCCAACGAGCUGAAGAAUAAUGCAUGCAAGCUAACAAAAUGGAGUGUGCAAGCUCUGCUCGCCAACUCUGAUUGGAUUAAAUUCGGGUAUGUGAAGGCUCCUGUUGUCCUUCGAACAUUAUUGUAACUAAUAUUGUUUGCUUCAAAUAUGUUUCCCGUAUGCACUUACGAGAUACAUCGCGUCGUGUAAUCCUUGGAACACAGCAGUUCCGCCCGUCACGCAUCGCAAAUCAACCUUAACAUCGACAAUGCUUGGGGCAUUCUCCGUUGUAUUAUUGAUUUGAGUAUGAAGGAAGAGGAUGGCAAAUUUUUGUUGGUGAAGGAUCCUAACAAGCCCGUCAUCCGCCUUUACAAGGUGCCCGACAACACGUUUGGGGCGACGAUGAAGCAUUUUUCGGAGAAGGAGAAGAAGACGAGUAACGGCUGAUACAAACAAAAGAACAGCUCUUCCACCGAUUCCCCAAUUACUACGUUUGUAAUGAUCGUUACAUGGAAUAAAGCACUUAUGAAGCUUCCAGUUUA